This 21-nucleotide non-coding RNA is filed under the name Arabidopsis thaliana (thale cress). Lineage: Eukaryota; Viridiplantae; Streptophyta; Magnoliopsida; Brassicales; Brassicaceae. The record is from RNAcentral.
UGACGACAGAGGUGUCGUUGG